RNAcentral lists this ribosomal RNA (429 nucleotides) under Chloroflexota bacterium. RNAcentral describes it as "Chloroflexi bacterium partial 16S ribosomal RNA". It matches the Rfam family "Bacterial small subunit ribosomal RNA", at positions 355 to 776 of the family's 1533-position model. Lineage: Bacteria; Bacillati; Chloroflexota. The record is from RNAcentral.
UGGGGAAUAUUGCACAAUGGGCGCAAGCCUGAUGCAGCCAUGCCGCGUGUAUGAAGAAGGCCUUCGGGUUGUAAAGUACUUUCAGUCGGGAGGAAGGUGUCAAGGUUAAUAACCUUGGCAAUUGACGUUACCGACAGAAGAAGCACCGGCUAACUCCGUGCCAGCAGCCGCGGUAAUACGGAGGGUGCAAGCGUUAAUCGGAAUUACUAGGCGUAAAGCGCACGCAGGCGGUUGAUUGAGUCAGAUGUGAAAUCCCCGGGCUUAACCCGGGAAUUGCAUCUGAUACUGGUCAGCUAGAGUCUUGUAGAGGGGGGUAGAAUUCCAUGUGUAGCGGUGAAAUGCGUAGAGAUGUGGAGGAAUACCGGUGGCGAAGGCGGCCCCCUGGACAAAGACUGACGCUCAGGUGCGAAAGCGUGGGGAGCAAACAGG